CGAACGGGUGAGGAACACGUGAGAAACCUGCCUUUCAUUUUGGGAUAACUCCGGGAAACCGGGGCUAAAACCGGAUACUCCGUCUCUGCGGCAUCGCGGAGCCGGGAAAAAAUUUUGAUGAAAGAUGGUCUCGCGGCCUAUCAGCUAGUUGGUGAGGUAAUGGCUCACCAAGGCGACGACGGGUAGCCGGCCUGAGAGGGCGACCGGCCACACUGGGACUGAGACACGGCCCAGACUCCUACGGGAGGCAGCAGUGGGGAAUAUUGGGCAAUGGGCGCAAGCCUGACCCAGCGACGCCGCGUGAGGGAUGAAGGCCUUCGGGUUGUAAACCUCUUUCAGUAGGGAAGAAGCGAAAGUGACGGUACCUAAAGAAGAAGCACCGGCUAACUAUGUGCCAGCAGCCGCGGUAAUACAUAGGGUGCAAGCGUUGUCCGGAAUUAUUGGGCGUAAAGAGCUCGUAGGUUGUUUGACACGUCGAUUGUGAAAAUCUGAGGCUCAACCUCAGACCUGCAGUCGAUACGGUCAAACUAGAGUGUGGUAGGGGAGACUGGAAUUCCUGGUGUAGCGGUGGAAUGCGCAGAUAUCAGGAGGAACACCAAUGGCGAAGGCAGGUCUCUGGGCCAUAACUGACACUGAGGAGCGAAAGCGCGGGGAGCGAACAGGAUUAGAUACCCUGGUAGUCCGCGCCGUAAACGGUGGGCACUAGCUGUGGGUCCCUUCCACGGGAUCCGCGACGCAGCAAACGCAUUAAGUGCCCCGCCUGGGGAGUACGAUCGCAAGAUUAAAACUCAAAGGAAUUGACGGGGCCCCGCACAAGCAGCGGAGCAUGCGGCUUAAUUCGACGCAACGCGAAGAACCUUACCAAGGCUUGACAUAUAGCGAAAAGUGGCAGAGAUGUCACGUCCGCAAGGGCGCUAUACAGGUGGUGCAUGGUUGUCGUCAGCUCGUGUCGUGAGAUGUUGGGUUAAGUCCCGCAACGAGCGCAACCCUCGUUCUGUGUUACCAGCAUUCGGUUGGGGACUCACAGGAGACUGCCGGGGUCAACUCGGAGGAAGGUGGGGAUGACGUCAAAUCAUCAUGCCCCUUAUGUCUUGGGCUGCACGCAUGCUACAAUGGCCGGUACA
RNAcentral lists this ribosomal RNA (1124 nucleotides) under uncultured bacterium. RNAcentral describes it as "bacterial SSU rRNA". It matches the Rfam family "Bacterial small subunit ribosomal RNA", at positions 99 to 1241 of the family's 1533-position model. The record is from RNAcentral.